This 107-nucleotide small RNA is filed under the name uncultured Blautia sp. Its description in RNAcentral is "drum RNA". It matches the Rfam family "drum RNA". From Rfam's summary of the family: Firmicutes, Bacteroidetes (1 example), Proteobacteria (2 examples), Spirochaetes (2 examples). Lineage: Bacteria; Bacillati; Bacillota; Clostridia; Lachnospirales; Lachnospiraceae. The record is from RNAcentral.
GCGGAAAAGUAAGGUGUUGUGCCAGAGAGCAGUACCUUAUGAGCUUUAUAAGGGUUUUACAUUUACCACAAUCUGGCUAGAGGUUAACCCUCGAAAGAAAAUGUUAG